AAAACAUGUCUUUAAGAUUUAUAUAAUUUAAAGUCUAAUCUGCUCCAUGAUUAAUUAGUAUUAAAUAGCUGCAGUAUCUUGACUGUACAAAGGUAGCAUAAUCAAUAGUUUUUUAAUUAAAAGCUGGUAUGAAUGAUUUGAUAAGGUAAAUAUUGUCUCAAAUUUAAUAAAUUUAAAAAUUUUUUUUUAGUAAAAAUACUAAAAUGAAUUUAAAAGACGAGAAGACCCUAUAGAUUUUUAUAUUUUGAACUUUUUAAUAUUUAAAAAUAAAAAGAUAAUGAAAGUUAAUUAUAUUGGAUUGGGGAAAUUAUUAAAUUAAUAAAAUUUUAAUUUUUAAUGAACAAAGAUUAUUGAAUAUUUGAUCUUUAAUUAAAGAUAAAAAGAUAAAAUUACCUUAGGGAUAACAGCGUAAUUUUUUUUGAUAGUACAUAUUGAUAAAAGAGUUUGCGACCUCGAUGUUGAAUUAAGAUAAAAUUUUAACGUAGGAGUUAAAUAUUUUUGGUCUGUUCGACCAUUAAAAUCUUACGUGAUCUGA
RNAcentral lists this ribosomal RNA (535 nucleotides) under Anepomias splendidus. RNAcentral's name for it is "partial 16S large subunit ribosomal RNA". The stretch from base 400 to 535 matches the Rfam family "Archaeal large subunit ribosomal RNA", at positions 2542 to 2677 of the family's 2987-position model. Lineage: Eukaryota; Metazoa; Arthropoda; Insecta; Hymenoptera; Ichneumonidae. The record is from RNAcentral.